This is a long non-coding RNA of Polypterus senegalus (gray bichir), 385 nucleotides long. RefSeq lists it as uncharacterized. The record is from RefSeq and is a predicted model, not a curated record. NCBI's taxonomy places the organism in Eukaryota, Metazoa, Chordata, Cladistia, Polypteriformes, Polypteridae. The transcript has 3 exons.
AUUUAGCAGAGUUGUUUUGCGUCCUGGCUGAACCUUCUAGUGUGAGACUACAAACUCCAUUUGGAUCAUAUAUGUACCAGAGCAGGGACGCCGGGGACAUAACUUAACAAAUGUGUGGAGUCAAUUGGUUUCCCAAAGGGACGCUACUGAGAAGCUGGCUCACCAAGUCCCGACCAAGACUUCUUUUACUGAUAGCAGGCUUGAAAAGACCACAAGUGACACUGAUGAGAAGAAAAAGGAUGAAGCGCACAAAAGUAGCAAAGGCCACGUAAGCGAACAUCUCUGCGAAUGCCGCAUUUCACUUGAAUCUUUAAAGUCCAAAGGCAACAGGAACUGGGUGACAAAUGAAGAAUAAAAUCCACCAGAGAGACUUUUUAGUCAUUUC